AGAUGGGGUUUAUAUAGAAGAGAAAAUUAGGGUUUUGAUUAGGGGGGUAAGACGAGGGAUUUCCAAAAUAUUCGGCCCAUUUGGAAUUCAAAUUCCAAACCUUAUCCAAAUACGGACGACUCGAACGGAAAAGGCGAGGUGGAGGGUGGAGAUCGAUCCCUCGUCCUUGGCAAACGACGUGGCUCAAUCCCACGACACCAACGAUGAAUCUCGCGUCGUCUUGUGCUGCAGAGUCGUACAAGCGAGGGAGAUGCUGCGAGAGAACGACAAGAGACAGUUGUGCUAUCGGGUUCGGU
Molecule: unclassified non-coding RNA, 296 nt
Filed under: Hevea brasiliensis (rubber tree)
Lineage: Eukaryota; Viridiplantae; Streptophyta; Magnoliopsida; Malpighiales; Euphorbiaceae
Source: RNAcentral